GGUAUGUAAAGCUCUAUCAGCAGGGAAGAUAAUGACGGUACCUGACUAAGAAGCACCGGCUAAAUACGUGCCAGCAGCCGCGGUAAUACGUAUGGUGCAAGCGUUAUCCGGAUUUACUGGGUGUAAAGGGAGCGCAGGCGGUGCGGCAAGUCUGAUGUGAAAGCCCGGGGCUCAACCCCGGUACUGCAUUGGAAACUGUCGUACUAGAGUGUCGGAGGGGUAAGCGGAACUCCUAGUGUAGCGGUGAAAUGCGUAGAUAUUAGGAGGAACACCAGUGGCGAAGGCGGCUUACUGGACGAUAACUGACGCUGAGGCUCGAAAGCGUGGGGAGCAAACAGGAUUAGAUACCCUGGUAGUCCACGCCGUAAA
Molecule: ribosomal RNA, 369 nt
Filed under: uncultured bacterium
Lineage: Bacteria
Description: bacterial SSU rRNA
Rfam family: Bacterial small subunit ribosomal RNA
Source: RNAcentral